ACUCCUACGGGAGGCAGCAGUGGGGAAUAUUGCACAAUGGGCGCAAGCCUGAUGCAGCCAUGCCGCGUGUGUGAAGAAGGCCUUCGGGUUGUAAAGCACUUUCAGUUGUGAGGAAGGUGGUGUCGUUAAUAGCGGCAUCAUUUGACGUUAGCAACAGAAGAAGCACCGGCUAACUCCGUGCCAGCAGCCGCGGUAAUACGGAGGGUGCGAGCGUUAAUCGGAAUUACUGGGCGUAAAGCGCAUGCAGGUGGUUUGUUAAGUCAGAUGUGAAAGCCCGGGGCUCAACCUCGGAACUGCAUUUGAAACUGGCAGACUAGAGUACUGUAGAGGGGGUAGAAUUUCAGGUGUAGCGGUGAAAUGCGUAGAGAUCGUGAAGGAUACCGGUGGCGAAGGCGGCCCCUGGACAGAUACUGACACUCAGAUGCGAAAGCGUGGGAGCAAACAGGAUUAGAUACCCGU
This 459-nucleotide ribosomal RNA is filed under the name uncultured bacterium. RNAcentral describes it as "bacterial SSU rRNA". It matches the Rfam family "Bacterial small subunit ribosomal RNA", at positions 335 to 789 of the family's 1533-position model. The record is from RNAcentral.